This 331-nucleotide unclassified non-coding RNA is filed under the name soil metagenome. Its description in RNAcentral is "partial contains 5.8S ribosomal RNA, internal transcribed spacer 2, and large subunit ribosomal RNA". The stretch from base 1 to 120 matches the Rfam family "5.8S ribosomal RNA", at positions 35 to 154 of the family's 154-position model. The record is from RNAcentral.
GAUGAAGAACGCAGCGAAAUGCGAUACUUGGUGUGAAUUGCAGAAUUCAGUGAAUCAUCGAAUCUUUGAACGCACAUUGCGCCCCCUGGUAUUCCGGGGGGCAUGCCUGUUCGAGCGUCAUUUCACCACUCAAGCCUCGCUUGGUAUUGGGCAACGCGGUCCGCCGCGUGCCUCAAAUCGACCGGCUGGGUCUUCUGUCCCCUAAGCGUUGUGGAAACUAUUCGCUAAAGGGUGUUCGGGAGGCUACGCCGUAAAACAACCCCAUUUCUAAGGUUGACCUCGGAUCAGGUAGGGAUACCCGCUGAACUUAAGCAUAUCAAUAAGCGGAGGA